AUGUUGCUCCUCGUAUUCCUGACAUUUUCUCUCCUAAAAGAGACUGCUGGUGAAGAUGUCAUAAAACCAGUCGUCACAGAGAAGCAUGUUUUGGAAGGAAAAGAUGUUACACUGAUCUGCAAAUACACUGAAACUGUUCAAAAUUUACAAUGGUAUCGUCAGUAUCCUGGAUCCAAACCUGAGCACCUCAUCACGUUCUAUGAGACCACUCCACAUAAAGACACCACUCUCCGUCUGAACGCUGCGGCUGAUAAAACAGCCAAAAAUAUGAAUUUGACGAUCUCUUCUACAGAAGUGACAGACUCUGCCAUGUACUACUGUGCCCUGCAGCCCACAUUGACAGGAAACACAACUACACUGUACAAAAACUGAGUGAGAAAUAUAUUUGCGGAAGAUGAUGAUGCACAAUGCAGUUUUCUGAACUGCACACUAAUCUGCUACAUGUUGGAAUACAUUUUAAAUGGAUGUAAAAGUGAUUGAGUGUCCCUUAAAUAUCAAGAUUAACUUUAACAUAGAGAUUAAAAGAUAGACUUGAAUCAAAAUUAUACUUGAAUCAUUUGACCUCUGUUACAGUGUCACUUCUUAUAUAAUAUCAUAAAUCAGAGUGCCCAAAUAUCAUUUUAGUAUGUAAACUACAGUUUAUUCAUAUACUGACUGUACUUGUAGGGUGAGAUGAGUGAGUAGACACUGUGUGGGAGGAGCUCCAUGUUUUGUCAAAUUCAGCAGAAGAGCUCAAGAGGUUUCAUCUCAGUUUAGUUCUUGACUCUUAAAGUCAUUGUCUCUCAUUAGUGCAGAUGUUGCUCUUCACAUUCAUUAUAUUUUCUCUUCUAAAAGGUGAGUGAUUUAUAACAAUUACUGUGUAAAUGCUUUUUUUCUCCUUUCUAUACUGUUGACAAUCUGAGUUAGCCCAUCAGAAAUGAUUUAUUAAAACAUUAUUUAAAACAGAAACUGCUGGUGAAGAUGUCAUAAAACCAGUCGUCACAGAGAAGCAUGUUUUGGAAGGAAAAGAUGUUACACUGAUCUGCAAAUACACUGAAACUGUCAAGAAUUUACAAUGGUAUCGUCAGUAUCCCGGAUCCAAACCUGAGAACCUCAUCACGUUCUAUGAGACCACUCCACAUAAAGAGACCACUCUCCGUCUGAACGCUGCGGCUGAUAAAACAGCCAAAAGUAUGAAUUUGACGAUCUCUUCUACAGAAGUGACAGACUCUGCCAUGUACUACUGUGCCCUGGUGCCCACAGUGACAGGAAACACAAGAACACUGUACAAAAAACGUUAGAAAUGAACUUCAAGAAGAAAAAGAAGAUCCUCAUUUUAAAAACUAUUUCUGUAACCAUUAGAAAGGAUUUGUGAACAAUACACAGUUAUAAAACUCUGGAGCAAAAGUAAUUAAACUAUAUUAUUUGAUAAAUAAAAAAGUUAAUUCACACAAUAAAGCAACUUACCAGCUCUGAAGAUGUUAGACAUCGUUAUAAACAUAUACCAGAAAGAUUACACCGUUUCAGUGCGUUCCAAACCUGUUUACAUACAAGACACAUCAUGUUUCUUCUAAAUACAGAAAAUGCUGUAUUCCCAGCAGAUGCCAACUUUACCAAGAAUUGACUAUGCUGUGUCCAUAUUCCCAGAAUAUCACCGUAUGCAGACUAUUAAAGGGAGAAGCUUUGUACCAAACUUUGCAUAAAGGAAGAACAUAAAGAACCUCUGAAGUAUGUGUAAAGCUAUGAAAGUACUAUAUGAGAACAAGUGGGUGGAGCUAGCUGUGGACAAAGUCACUGCAAACAAAAGAACGGCACAAUGCCUCCGAAGGAAGAGGACUUUCAGUGAUCUU
Long non-coding RNA from Carassius auratus (goldfish), 1829 nucleotides. The record is from Ensembl. Lineage: Eukaryota; Metazoa; Chordata; Actinopteri; Cypriniformes; Cyprinidae.